Molecule: long non-coding RNA, 519 nt
Organism: Arabidopsis lyrata subsp. lyrata
Lineage: Eukaryota; Viridiplantae; Streptophyta; Magnoliopsida; Brassicales; Brassicaceae
Exons: 3
Source: RefSeq, a predicted model, not a curated record
UUUUGUUAGUUUUCUGAUUUUGUUUCUAAUUAAAAAGUUAAAUUUCUUAAGAUAAUGAUUGAUGUUUGCCCUAAUCUUAAAGCUAUAUAUAUUGUUGAUCGGCCAGAGGAUUAGGUAUUAUUUUUCUGUGGCCAUUAGAUAGUUUUCACCGUUAUGGUUUUUUUAUAUAGCUACUACAAUUCUGAUGAAUCGAGUUGUUUGUCAUGCAAAUAUUGUUUUCAUGGACCUUUAAAGGUCGUGUGCAUAUUGUUUGUGUUGUUUGUUUUAUUUUUUUGCAUUAUUCGAUGAUUUAUUGUUUUGCUAAUUUGGUGUUUUUGGUGUGUGUUUCAGUUUUGUAUAACGUGGGAGGUUCCAUCGACAAAGCUCUCUGACGAAGGUGGUGUUGACGAGCAAAGAGCGAGGUUUGGGGAGGUACUCGAUGAACUCAUAUCUCGGUUUGUGUCGGUUUAUUGGAAACAGGUAACCGCUGGUGUUUCCUUCUCCCGAAGAUGCACGAAUGAUAUGUUUUAUUUUAAUAAG